RNAcentral lists this ribosomal RNA (452 nucleotides) under uncultured bacterium. RNAcentral describes it as "partial 16S ribosomal RNA". It matches the Rfam family "Bacterial small subunit ribosomal RNA", at positions 28 to 507 of the family's 1533-position model. The record is from RNAcentral.
GAUGAACGCUGGCGGCGUGCCUAACACAUGCAAGUCGAGCGAUUCUCUUCGGAGAAGAGCGGCGGACGGGUGAGUAACGCGUGGGUAACCUGCCCUGUACACACGGAUAACAUACCGAAAGGUAUGCUAAUACGAGAUAAUAUGCUUUUAUCGCAUGGUAGAAGUAUCAAAGCUUUUGCGGUCCAGGAUGGACCCGCGUCUGAUUAGCUAGUUGGUAAGGUAACGGCUUACCAAGGCGACGAUCAGUAGCCGACCUGAGAGGGUGAUCGGCCACAUUGGCACUGAGCCACGGUCCAAACUCCUACGGGAGGCAGCAGUGGGGAAUAUUGCACAAUGGGCGAAAGCCUGAUGCAGCAACGCCGCGUGAGCGAUGAAGGCCUUCGGGUAGUAAAGUUCUGUCCUCAAGGAAGAUAAUGACGGUACUUGAGGAGGAAGCCCCGGCUAACUACGUG